This 2204-nucleotide ribosomal RNA is filed under the name Escherichia coli. Its description in RNAcentral is "partial 23S ribosomal RNA". It matches the Rfam family "Bacterial large subunit ribosomal RNA", at positions 1 to 2228 of the family's 2925-position model. The record is from RNAcentral. Lineage: Bacteria; Pseudomonadati; Pseudomonadota; Gammaproteobacteria; Enterobacterales; Enterobacteriaceae.
GGUUAAGCGACUAAGCGUACACGGUGGAUGCCCUGGCAGUCAGAGGCGAUGAAGGACGUGCUAAUCUGCGAUAAGCGUCGGUAAGGUGAUAUGAACCGUUAUAACCGGCGAUUUCCGAAUGGGGAAACCCAGUGUGAUUCGUCACACUAUCAUUAACUGAAUCCAUAGGUUAAUGAGGCGAACCGGGGGAACUGAAACAUCUAAGUACCCCGAGGAAAAGAAAUCAACCGAGAUUCCCCCAGUAGCGGCGAGCGAACGGGGAGCAGCCCAGAGCCUGAAUCAGUGUGUGUGUUAGUGGAAGCGUCUGGAAAGGCGCGCGAUACAGGGUGACAGCCCCGUACACAAAAAUGCACAUGCUGUGAGCUCGAUGAGUAGGGCGGGACACGUGGUAUCCUGUCUGAAUAUGGGGGGACCAUCCUCCAAGGCUAAAUACUCCUGACUGACCGAUAGUGAACCAGUACCGUGAGGGAAAGGCGAAAAGAACCCCGGCGAGGGGAGUGAAAAAGAACCUGAAACCGUGUACGUACAAGCAGUGGGAGCCUCUUUUAUGGGGUGACUGCGUACCUUUUGUAUAAUGGGUCAGCGACUUAUAUUCUGUAGCAAGGUUAACCGAAUAGGGGAGCCGAAGGGAAACCGAGUCUUAACUGGGCGUUAAGUUGCAGGGUAUAGACCCGAAACCCGGUGAUCUAGCCAUGGGCAGGUUGAAGGUUGGGUAACACUAACUGGAGGACCGAACCGACUAAUGUUGAAAAAUUAGCGGAUGACUUGUGGCUGGGGGUGAAAGGCCAAUCAAACCGGGAGAUAGCUGGUUCUCCCCGAAAGCUAUUUAGGUAGCGCCUCGUGAAUUCAUCUCCGGGGGUAGAGCACUGUUUCGGCAAGGGGGUCAUCCCGACUUACCAACCCGAUGCAAACUGCGAAUACCGGAGAAUGUUAUCACGGGAGACACACGGCGGGUGCUAACGUCCGUCGUGAAGAGGGAAACAACCCAGACCGCCAGCUAAGGUCCCAAAGUCAUGGUUAAGUGGGAAACGAUGUGGGAAGGCCCAGACAGCCAGGAUGUUGGCUUAGAAGCAGCCAUCAUUUAAAGAAAGCGUAAUAGCUCACUGGUCGAGUCGGCCUGCGCGGAAGAUGUAACGGGGCUAAACCAUGCACCGAAGCUGCGGCAGCGACGCUUAUGCGUUGUUGGGUAGGGGAGCGUUCUGUAAGCCUGUGAAGGUGUGCUGUGAGGCAUGCUGGAGGUAUCAGAAGUGCGAAUGCUGACAUAAGUAACGAUAAAGCGGGUGAAAAGCCCGCUCGCCGGAAGACCAAGGGUUCCUGUCCAACGUUAAUCGGGGCAGGGUGAGUCGACCCCUAAGGCGAGGCCGAAAGGCGUAGUCGAUGGGAAACAGGUUAAUAUUCCUGUACUUGGUGUUACUGCGAAGGGGGGACGGAGAAGGCUAUGUUGGCCGGGCGACGGUUGUCCCGGUUUAAGCGUGUAGGCUGGUUUUCCAGGCAAAUCCGGAAAAUCAAGGCUGAGGCGUGAUGACGAGGCACUACGGUGCUGAAGCAACAAAUGCCCUGCUUCCAGGAAAAGCCUCUAAGCAUCAGGUAACAUCAAAUCGUACCCCAAACCGACACAGGUGGUCAGGUAGAGAAUACCAAGGCGCUUGAGAGAACUCGGGUGAAGGAACUAGGCAAAAUGGUGCCGUAACUUCGGGAGAAGGCACGCUGAUAUGUAGGUGAAGUCCCUCGCGGAUGGAGCUGAAAUCAGUCGAAGAUACCAGCUGGCUGCAACUGUUUAUUAAAAACACAGCACUGUGCAAACACGAAAGUGGACGUAUACGGUGUGACGCCUGCCCGGUGCCGGAAGGUUAAUUGAUGGGGUUAGCGGUAACGCGAAGCUCUUGAUCGAAGCCCCGGUAAACGGCGGCCGUAACUAUAACGGUCCUAAGGUAGCGAAAUUCCUUGUCGGGUAAGUUCCGACCUGCACGAAUGGCGUAAUGAUGGCCAGGCUGUCUCCACCCGAGACUCAGUGAAAUUGAACUCGCUGUGAAGAUGCAGUGUACCCGCGGCAAGACGGAAAGACCCCGUGAACCUUUACUAUAGCUUGACACUGAACAUUGAGCCUUGAUGUGUAGGAUAGGUGGGAGGCUUUGAAGUGUGGACGCCAGUCUGCAUGGAGCCGACCUUGAAAUACCACCCUUUAAUGUUUGAUGUUCUAACGU